This 359-nucleotide ribosomal RNA is filed under the name Streptomyces chromofuscus. RNAcentral describes it as "bacterial SSU rRNA". It matches the Rfam family "Bacterial small subunit ribosomal RNA", at positions 54 to 417 of the family's 1533-position model. The record is from RNAcentral. Lineage: Bacteria; Bacillati; Actinomycetota; Actinomycetes; Kitasatosporales; Streptomycetaceae.
CAUGCAAGUCGAACGAUGAACCACUUCGGUGGGGAUUAGUGGCGAACGGGUGAGUAACACGUGGGCAAUCUGCCCUGCACUCUGGGACAAGCCCUGGAAACGGGGUCUAAUACCGGAUACGAGCUCCUGCCGCAUGGUGGGGGUUGGAAAGCUCCGGCGGUGCAGGAUGAGCCCGCGGCCUAUCAGCUUGUUGGUGAGGUAACGGCUCACCAAGGCGACGACGGGUAGCCGGCCUGAGAGGGCGACCGGCCACACUGGGACUGAGACACGGCCCAGACUCCUACGGGAGGCAGCAGUGGGGAAUAUUGCACAAUGGGCGCAGCCCUGAUGCAGCGACGCCGCGUGAGGGAUGACGGCCU